CCUACGGGAGCUGCAGUGAGGAAUAUUGGUCAAUGGGCGCAAGCCUGAACCAGCCAUCCCGCGUGCAGGAAGACGGCCCUAUGGGUUGUAAACUGCUUUUCUAGGGGGAGAAACUUGCGCACGUGUUGCGCAAUUGACGGUACCCUGGGAAUAAGCAUCGGCUAACUCCGUGCCAGCAGCCGCGGUAAUACGGAGGAUGCGAGCGUUAUCCGGAUUCAUUGGGUUUAAAGGGUGCGUAGGCGGACUAUUAAGUCAGGGGUGAAAUCCUGCAGCUUAACUGCAGAACUGCCAUUGAUACUG
RNAcentral lists this ribosomal RNA (300 nucleotides) under uncultured prokaryote. RNAcentral's name for it is "bacterial SSU rRNA". It matches the Rfam family "Bacterial small subunit ribosomal RNA", at positions 338 to 635 of the family's 1533-position model. The record is from RNAcentral.